CGUUCUAUUUGAUAUAGAAAAUAUAAAAGAAAGGGGACAUUGUCAGUAAUGGUGGUGUCCUUUCACUUUAUUAUUCUUCUUUUCAAAUAAUAACACGUAUACACCCUUGUGGUGAAUAUAGGAAUUAGGAUUUCUAGUGAGCAGUUAUAGCGUAUCGUUAUAAGCGAGCUAGGAUCUCUUGAUUAUAAACGCUAUUGUUUACAUUUAUUAAGACUAAAGUUUACCUUGUGAAGCAUUGCACUUCGCGUGUAAUGGUUACCAAGUAAAACAAUUAAUAAAUCUAAUACAACUGCUAGCAACGGAUCACUCGGCUCUCGCGUCGAUGAAGAACGUAGCGAACUGCGAAAAUUAAUGCGACCCGCAACACGUGAGUCAUCGAGUCUUUGAACGCAUAUUGCACCCGACGGGUUUACUUGUCGGGUCUGCCUGUCUGAGUAUCAAUACGGACCCAAUCAAUAAAUAAUAUUUGUUGUAUUGGUGCUCAUUAGAACGGGGAGUAAUCCCGGUUGUAAUGGAUCUGAAUGUUCAACUACAGUUUGUGAUUGAUCAUUUGAAAUGCAUUGGUAUUUGAUUAUAGCAAGGCAUUAGCUUUGUUAUAAUCGGCCAACGACCGGUGAUGUCAGAGUCGUAUAAACAUUGUUAUUCAUCUUUCAUUAGGUGUUCAUUGUUUAUUAUCUGCUAUUGCAAACGGUCGAUGGAUAGUAAUGCCAACUAGUAUACUGCUGCUUAACAGCAAAUGUAUCCAAUAUACUCUACCUUUCUUGAUCUCAGAUCAGGCAGGAUGACCCG
RNAcentral lists this ribosomal RNA (789 nucleotides) under Syncephalis cornu. Its description in RNAcentral is "eukaryotic LSU rRNA". The stretch from base 288 to 440 matches the Rfam family "5.8S ribosomal RNA". The record is from RNAcentral. Lineage: Eukaryota; Fungi; Zoopagomycota; Zoopagomycetes; Zoopagales; Piptocephalidaceae.